This 999-nucleotide ribosomal RNA is filed under the name Triticum aestivum (bread wheat). Its description in RNAcentral is "partial small subunit ribosomal RNA". Lineage: Eukaryota; Viridiplantae; Streptophyta; Magnoliopsida; Poales; Poaceae. The record is from RNAcentral.
AUGAAUUGCUUAGUGUGGAACUGUCGAUGGGCGGGGAACUCUCGCACAGUUCGUGAUCUUCAGGCUCUAUGUAGAGUCCAUUCCCCGAAGCUGGUGUUCUUAUGUGAUAGGCAACAAAAACGUAAUAUGGCUAGGAUCCGUAAUCGUUUAGGACUGAAGGGUUUUGAUGGAAGAAGUAGUCAAGGAAAGAGUGGAGGAUUAGCUCUGUUUUGGCAUGAAACUUUGCAAGUCGAUGUUCAAGAUGUUAAUGAUAGAUGGGUUGAUGCUUAUAUUCGUGUCUCAGCUGUCGACCCCCUUUGGCGGGUUACUUUUGUAUACGGAGAACCAAGGGUCGAAAACAUGCAUCUUAUGUGGGACAGUCUAUGCAGAUUGAAGAACACGUCUGACAUUCCAUGGCUCGUCGCGGGUGACUUCAAUGAGGCACUCUAGGAGUUUGAACACCUUUCUGUCACUCCUAGACCCCAAGCCCAAAUGGUCGCUUUCAGAGACUGCCUCGAGACUUGUCAGCUAGUCGAUCUGGGUUUCUCCGGAUAUCCCUAUACUUAUGAUAAUAAGAGAAGCGGUAGAGCAAAUGUGCAGGUUAGGUUGGACAGGGCGGUGGCUGACAACACUUGGCGAGAUAUUUUUCCUGAGGUGGAGGUGGCCCACCUCUUUUCACCUUGUUCUGACCAUUGCCCAUUAAUCAUACGUUGCAUCAAGGAAACCCAGGUCCGAGCAGGGAGAACACGCAGGUAUGAAGUGAUGUGGGAGCGCGAGCCAGCGCUAGCAGAAGUGGUGGCGGAGGCUUGGUCCAGUGCAGGUGCGAAAGGGGACUUGGGCAUGAUUAGCAAUGCUCUUCGGUCAACUAUGGCAGCACUACAUAGGUGGAGCAACAAGAAGCUGGGGAACAUUACUAGAGAAAUUGAGAAGUCCAGAACACGUUUGGAGGAGCUCACAAACAUGAACGCUGACCGCAACGAAAUUCGGAAGGCUGCUGACCUUAUGAAUGAAUUACUCUAA